Molecule: ribosomal RNA, 486 nt
Filed under: uncultured bacterium
Lineage: Bacteria
Description: partial 16S ribosomal RNA
Rfam family: Bacterial small subunit ribosomal RNA
Source: RNAcentral
CUAACACAUGCAAGUCGAGCGGCAGCGAGGUAAGUGGCAACACUUAUUGUCGGCGAGCGGCGGACGGGUGAGGAACACGUAGGAAUCUACCUAGAAGACUGGGAUACCCAAGGGAAACUUUGGUUAAUACCGGAUACUACUCGAGAGAGGAAACCUGCUCUGCAAGGGGUGGGGGUUUUAGAGGAGCCGGCGUCCGAUUAGCUAGUUGGUAGGGUAAGGGCCUACCAAGGCGAUGAUCGGUAACUGGUCUGAGAGGACGACCAGUCACACUGGGACUGAGACACGGCCCAGACUCCUACGGGAGGCAGCAGUGGGGAAUCUUGGACAAUGGGGGCAACCCUGAUCCAGCGAUGCCGCGUGGGUGAAGAAGGCCUUCGGGUUGUAAAGCCCUUUAGGUUGGGAAGAAAGAUGUUUGAGGAAAUGCGAACAUUGUGACGGUACCGACAGAAUAAGCACCGGCAAACUCUGUGCCAGCCGCCGCGGUAA